UACGAAGGGGGCUAGCGUUGUUCGGAAUCACUGGGCGUAAAGCGCACGCAGGCGGAUCGUUAAGUCAGGGGUGAAAUGCCGAGGCUCAACCUCGGAACUGCCUUUGAUACUGGCGAUCUUAGAGUCCGGGAGAGGUGAGUGGAACUCCGAGUGUAGAGGUGAAAUUCGUAGAUAUUCGGAAGAACACCAGUGGCGAAGGCGGCUCACUGGCCCGGUACUGACGCUGAGGAGCGAAAGCGUGGGGAGCGAACAGG
This 254-nucleotide ribosomal RNA is filed under the name uncultured bacterium. RNAcentral's name for it is "partial 16S ribosomal RNA". It matches the Rfam family "Bacterial small subunit ribosomal RNA", at positions 524 to 776 of the family's 1533-position model. The record is from RNAcentral.